RNAcentral lists this non-coding RNA (183 nucleotides) under Methylophaga thalassica. Its description in RNAcentral is "6S RNA". It matches the Rfam family "6S / SsrS RNA". From Rfam's summary of the family: E. coli 6S RNA was the first non coding RNA to be sequenced, but its function was unknown until recently. It consists of 184 nucleotides that fold into an extended hairpin structure with a large single-stranded internal bulge. The 6S RNA specifically associates with RNA polymerase holoenzyme containing the sigma70 specificity factor. The record is from RNAcentral. Lineage: Bacteria; Pseudomonadati; Pseudomonadota; Gammaproteobacteria; Thiotrichales; Piscirickettsiaceae.
UUGUUCCUGCGGUGCUCGAUAGCGACAUGUGUGUCUUGAGCCGAUAAGCAAAUGCUUAAGGAAACUGAAAUAAGAGGUUGAAAAACAGGCCCACUUAGAUGGGAAGUUUGCCAUCCUCGUGAAGUUUCCCUCUUGAAUCUCCUGGUUCAAGAACCCCCGUCGCGUCGGCACUGUGGGGCUUAU